RNAcentral lists this ribosomal RNA (253 nucleotides) under uncultured bacterium. RNAcentral describes it as "partial 16S ribosomal RNA". It matches the Rfam family "Bacterial small subunit ribosomal RNA", at positions 524 to 776 of the family's 1533-position model. The record is from RNAcentral.
UACGUAGGGACCAAGCGUUGUUCGGAUUUACUGGGCGUAAAGGGCGCGUAGGCGGCUUGACAAGUCACUUGUGAAAUCUCCGGGCUUAACUCGGAACGGCCAAGUGAAACUGUCAUGCUAGAGUGCAGAAGGGGCAAUCGGAAUUCUUGGUGUAGCGGUGAAAUGCGUAGAUAUCAGGAGGAACACCGGUGGCGAAGGCGGGUCUCUGGGCCGAUACUGACGCUGAGGAGCGAAAGCAUGGGGAGCGAACAGG